GACUGAGUACAAUGUGCAUGAUCAGAGUGCUGUCCCACAGUAUGGGAACACAAGCGCAGAAUAGCCUAAAACGUCAAGUUUUGUAGAUAUAUUUCCUUCUUUUUUUUUUUUUUACAAGGAACUGAGAAACUGCAGAGAAAGCGGAAGACGGAACGGGAUUAAGAGAAAGCUAACCAGAGGAGCUGAGAAACUGCAGAGACAGCGGAAGACGGAACGAGAUGAAAAGAAAGCUAACCAGAGGAGCUGUGGAGAAGUUGCUGUGAAAGCCAAAGAAGGAACUGGAUGAACACAAAGCAGACGUGAGGUAUGCAUAAUUAUGUCAUUAUUAUUGUCGAGACAAGCUAGCUAUUUAAGCAUUGCUUGCAUCUAGCUAACUGGCCUAUCUUUCUCCUUGGCCAUUUCACGUUGCCUUCAUCAAAGUCAUCCCAUUUCCCCACUGAUGUCUGCCUCAGACCAAGUCAUGAUUGUUAUGCAUCAAGUUUAAUCAUCUAAUAUAUGGGGUCGAUUAAACUUUCCAUCAUGAGUGUUGCUUCAGUUGCGUUCACAGUAUGAACAGGUAGGCUCAAUUAAGUAAGUUAGCAAGAAAGCAGCUGUUGAUGAAUCUGCAAUCUGGUAAUAACAUGUUAUUAUUAUUAUUAUUAGAACAAAAACUAGUGAAUGGGGUGCAGGGAGGUCGAGUAAAAAGAUAU
Molecule: long non-coding RNA, 689 nt
Organism: Scatophagus argus
Lineage: Eukaryota; Metazoa; Chordata; Actinopteri; Scatophagidae
Exons: 3
Source: RefSeq, a predicted model, not a curated record